GACGAACGCUGGCGGCGUGCUUAACACAUGCAAGUCGAACGGAAAGGCCCUGCUUUUGUGGGGUGCUCGAGUGGCGAACGGGUGAGUAACACGUGAGUAACCUGCCCUUGACUUUGGGAUAACUUCAGGAAACUGGGGCUAAUACCGGAUAGGAGCUCCUGCUGCAUGGUGGGGGUGGGAAAGUUUCGGCGGUUGGGGAUGGACUCGCGGCUUAUCAGCUUGUUGGUGGGGUAGUGGCUUACCAAGGCUUUGACGGGUAGCCGGCCUGAGAGGGUGACCGGCCACAUUGGGACUGAGAUACGGCCCAGACUCCUACGGGAGGCAGCAGUGGGGAAUAUUGCACAAUGGGCGGAAGUCUGAUGCAGCAACGCCGCGUGCGGGAUGACGGCCUUCGGGUUGUAAACCGCUUUCGCCUGUGACGAAGCGUGAGUGACGGUAAUGGGUAAAGAAGCACCGGCUAACUACGUG
Molecule: ribosomal RNA, 468 nt
Filed under: uncultured bacterium
Lineage: Bacteria
Description: partial 16S ribosomal RNA
Rfam family: Bacterial small subunit ribosomal RNA
Source: RNAcentral